This 87-nucleotide transfer RNA is filed under the name Anaerotruncus sp. CAG:390. RNAcentral describes it as "transfer RNA-Leu(CAA)". It matches the Rfam family "tRNA". Rfam says of the family: Transfer RNA (tRNA) molecules are approximately 80 nucleotides in length. The record is from RNAcentral. Lineage: Bacteria; Bacillati; Bacillota; Clostridia; Eubacteriales; Oscillospiraceae.
GCCGGUGUGGUGGAAUUGGCAGACGCGCGGGACUCAAAAUCCCGUGUCUUCACGGACGUGCGGGUUCGACCCCCGCCACCGGCACCA